This 433-nucleotide ribosomal RNA is filed under the name uncultured bacterium. RNAcentral's name for it is "partial 16S ribosomal RNA". It matches the Rfam family "Bacterial small subunit ribosomal RNA", at positions 29 to 507 of the family's 1533-position model. The record is from RNAcentral.
AACGAACGCUGGCGGCAUGCCUAACACAUGCAAGUCGAACGAGACCUUCGGGUCUAGUGGCGCACGGGUGCGUAACGCGUGGGAACCUGCCCUUAGGUUCGGAAUAACUCCCCGAAAGGGGUGCUAAUACCGGAUAAUGUCUUCGGACCAAAGAUUUAUCGCCUUUGGAUGGGCCCGCGUUGGAUUAGCUAGUUGGUAGGGUAAAAGCCUACCAAGGCGACGAUCCAUAGCUGGUCUGAGAGGAUGAUCAGCCACACUGGGACUGAGACACGGCCCAGACUCCUACGGGAGGCAGCAGUGGGGAAUAUUGGACAAUGGGCGAAAGCCUGGUCCAGCAAUGCCGCGUGAGUGAUGAAGGCCUUAGGGUUGUAAAGCUCUUUUACCCGGGAUGAUAAUGACAGUACCGGGAGAAUAAGCACCGGCUAACUCCGUG